AAGGGGGGUUUGGAUGCUGGCCCGCGAGGGCAUGUGCGCACCCCUGUUUUUCUAAUCCUCACAACAAACACCUGUGCACUUGUGGCGAGCGCCUUCCGUUCGGAGCCGUCCGACGUUAGUCUCCCUGUCUUUGGGAGGGUCGGGCCGAGGCGCUCCCUCUCUGUCCCAUUUACACUACAGCCUGUUUAAAAGCAUGUCUUGGGCUCUACGGAGCAGAUGGGAAGCAUUACAACUUUCAACAACGGAUCUCUUGGCUUUUGCAUCGAUGAAGAACGCCGCGAAAGCGCGAAACGUAAUGUGAAUUGCAGAAUUCAGUGAAUCAUCGAAUCUUUGAACGCAUCUUGCGCUCCUUGGUAUUCCGAGGAGCAUGCCUGUUUGAGUGUCGUGAACCCCCUCAACCUUUGUUCCUUUGCCGGGGCAGGGGUUGGAUUUGGACGCUUGCGGCGGGGGGGAAGCCCUUUUUUNCCCCCUUGCCGCUCGUCUUCAAAUGCAUCAGCUUGGCCCUCCUUUAGUAGUCGGUUCGACGACGGUGUGAUAACAAACGCUUCGUUGACUGUGGCGCCGUUUGGGCCGACUCUGAAACCGGGUCGCUUACAGCCGUCCC
This 604-nucleotide ribosomal RNA is filed under the name Ramaria sp. OSC 81725. RNAcentral describes it as "eukaryotic LSU rRNA". The stretch from base 231 to 385 matches the Rfam family "5.8S ribosomal RNA". The record is from RNAcentral. Lineage: Eukaryota; Fungi; Basidiomycota; Agaricomycetes; Gomphales; Gomphaceae.